AUUGAACGCUGGCGGCAUGCUUUACACAUGCAAGUCGAACGGCAGCGCGGGCUUCGGCCUGGCGGCGAGUGGCGAACGGGUGAGUAAUACAUCGGAACGUGCCCAGUAGUGGGGGAUAGCUCGGCGAAAGCCGGAUUAAUACCGCAUACGACCUGAGGGUGAAAGCGGGGGAUCUUCGGACCUCGCGCUAUUGGAGCGGCCGAUGGCAGAUUAGCUAGGUGGUGGGGUAAAGGCCUACCAAGGCGACGAUCCGUAGCUGGUCUGAGAGGACGACCAGCCACACUGGGACUGAGCCACGGCCCAGACUCCUACGGGAGGCAGCAGUGGGGAAUUUUGGACAAUGGGCGAAAGCCUGAUCCAGCAAUGCCGCGUGUGUGAUGAAGGCCUUCGGGUUGUAAAGCACUUUUGGCGGGAACGAAAAGGACUGUGCCAAUACCACGGUUCGAUGACGGUACCCGCAGAAUAAGCACCGGCUAACUACGUG
Molecule: ribosomal RNA, 484 nt
Filed under: uncultured bacterium
Lineage: Bacteria
Description: partial 16S ribosomal RNA
Rfam family: Bacterial small subunit ribosomal RNA
Source: RNAcentral